CACGUAGGCGGAUUGCUAAGUCAGGGGUGAAAUCCUGGAGCUCAACUCCAGAACUGCCCUUGAUACUGGCGGUCUCGAGUCCGGGAGAGGUGAGUGGAACUGCGAGUGUAGAGGUGAAAUUCGUAGAUAUUCGCAAGAACACCAGUGGCGAAGGCGGCUCACUGGCCCGGUACUGACGCUGAGGUGCGAAAGCGUGGGAGCAAACAGGAUUAGAUACCUGGUAGUCCACGCCGUAAACGAUGGAUGCUAGCCGUUGGUGGGUUUACCUAUCAGUGGCGCAGCUAACGCAUUAAGCAUCCCGCCUGGGGAGUACGGUCGCAAGAAUUAAA
This 329-nucleotide ribosomal RNA is filed under the name uncultured bacterium. Its description in RNAcentral is "bacterial SSU rRNA". It matches the Rfam family "Bacterial small subunit ribosomal RNA", at positions 568 to 899 of the family's 1533-position model. The record is from RNAcentral.